RNAcentral lists this ribosomal RNA (421 nucleotides) under Amazophrynella aff. manaos ABGD cluster 4. Its description in RNAcentral is "partial large subunit ribosomal RNA". It matches the Rfam family "Bacterial large subunit ribosomal RNA", at positions 1835 to 2457 of the family's 2925-position model. Lineage: Eukaryota; Metazoa; Chordata; Amphibia; Anura; Bufonidae. The record is from RNAcentral.
CUUGAACCCUAUAAGAGGUCCAGCCUGCCCAGUGAAACAAUUCAACGGCCGCGGUAUCCUAACCGUGCGAAGGUAGCGUAAUCACUUGUUCUCUAAAUUAGGACUAGUAUGAACGGCAUCACGAGGGUUAUACUGUCUCCUUUUUCCAAUUAGUGAAUUUAAUUUUCCCGUGAAGAAGCGGGAAUAAGCCUAUAAGACGAGAAGACCCUAUGGAGCUUUAAACAAUCUAGCAUCUGCCUAUAUUCUUCAUGUUUCAGAACUCUCUAGACCUCCUACAUAAUGACUAGAAGUUUUAGGUUGGGGUGACCGCGGAGUAAAACCCAUCCUCCAUAAUGAAAGAAUUUUAAUUCUUAACCAAGAAAUACCUAUCUAAGUAUUAACACACUGACAUUUAUUGACCCAAUACAAUUGAUCAACGAAC